AGAGUUUGAUCAUGGCUCAGAACGAACGCUGGCGGCAGGCCUAACACAUGCAAGUCGAGCGCCCUCGCAAGAGGGAGCGGCGGACGGGUGAGUAACGCGUGGGAAUUUUCCUCAAGGUACGGAACAACUCAGGGAAACUUGGGCUAAUACCGUAUGAUGUCUAGCGACCAAAGAUUUAUCGCCUUGGGAUAAGCCCGCGUCAGAUUAGGUAGUUGGUGGGGUAACGGCCUACCAAGCCUGCGAUCUGUAGCUGGUCUGAGAGGACGAUCAGCCACACUGGGACUGAGACACGGCCCAGACUCCUACGGGAGGCAGCAGUGGGGAAUCUUGCGCAAUGGGCGAAAGCCUGACGCAGCCAUGCCGCGUGAAUGAUGAAGGUCUUAGGAUUGUAAAGUUCUUUCGCUCGUGACGAUGAUGACGGUAACGAGAGAAGAGCC
RNAcentral lists this ribosomal RNA (437 nucleotides) under uncultured Holospora sp. Its description in RNAcentral is "bacterial SSU rRNA". It matches the Rfam family "Bacterial small subunit ribosomal RNA", at positions 8 to 491 of the family's 1533-position model. The record is from RNAcentral. Lineage: Bacteria; Pseudomonadati; Pseudomonadota; Alphaproteobacteria; Holosporales; Holosporaceae.